CCUUGUCUAUUAGUUGCCAUCUAUUUAGUUGGCACUCUAAUGAGACUGCCGUGACAACCGGAGGAAGGUGGGGAUGACGUCAAGUCCUCAUGGCCCUUAUGGGUAGGGCUUCACACGUCAUACAAUGGUCGGUACAGAGGGUUGCCAAGCCGCGAGGUGGAGCCAAUCCCUUAAAGCCGAUCGUAGUCCGGAUCGUAGUCUGCAACUCGACUACGUGAAGUCGGAAUCGCUAGUAAUCGCAGAUCAGCAUGCUGCGGUGAAUACGUUCCCGGGCCUU
RNAcentral lists this ribosomal RNA (277 nucleotides) under uncultured Thauera sp. RNAcentral's name for it is "partial 16S ribosomal RNA". It matches the Rfam family "Bacterial small subunit ribosomal RNA", at positions 1103 to 1382 of the family's 1533-position model. Lineage: Bacteria; Pseudomonadati; Pseudomonadota; Betaproteobacteria; Rhodocyclales; Zoogloeaceae. The record is from RNAcentral.